CCUACGGGUGACAGCAGUGGGGAAUAUUGCGCAAUGGGCGAAAGCCUGACGCAGCGACGCCGCGUGAGGGAUGAAGGUCUUCGGAUCGUAAACCUCUGUCAGCAGGGAAGAACGGUCACGGGGCUAAUCAGCAGUGAAUUGACGGUACCUGCAAAGGAAGCACCGGCUAACUCCGUGCCAGCAGCCGCGGUAAGACGGAGGGUGCGAGCGUUAAUCGGAAUUACUGGGCGGAAAGCGCUCGUAGGCGGUAUGUCAAGUCAAGGGUGAAAUCCCCGCGCUCACCGUGGGAACUGCCUUUGAAACUGGCAAGCUGGAGUUUGUUCGAGGUUAGUGGACUUCCCGGUGU
This 346-nucleotide ribosomal RNA is filed under the name uncultured bacterium. Its description in RNAcentral is "partial 16S ribosomal RNA". It matches the Rfam family "Bacterial small subunit ribosomal RNA", at positions 338 to 676 of the family's 1533-position model. The record is from RNAcentral.